This 73-nucleotide transfer RNA is filed under the name Marmota monax (woodchuck). RNAcentral describes it as "tRNA.Ala". Lineage: Eukaryota; Metazoa; Chordata; Mammalia; Rodentia; Sciuridae. The record is from RNAcentral.
UGGGGUUGUGGCUCAGCGGUAGAGUGCUUGCCUAGCAUGUGCGAGGCCCUGGGUUUGAUCCUCAGCACCACAA